GAUGAACGCUGGCGGCGUGCCUAAUACAUGCAAGUCGAGCGAACAGACGAGGAGCUUGCUCCUCUGACGUUAGCGGCGGACGGGUGAGUAACACGUGGGUAACCUACCUAUAAGACUGGGAUAACUUCGGGAAACCGGAGCUAAUACCGGAUAAUAUAUUGAACCGCAUGGUUCAAUAGUGAAAGACGGUUUUGCUGUCACUUAUAGAUGGAUCCGCGCCGCAUUAGCUAGUUGGUAAGGUAACGGCUUACCAAGGCAACGAUGCGUAGCCGACCUGAGAGGGUGAUCGGCCACACUGGAACUGAGACACGGUCCAGACUCCUACGGGAGGCAGCAGUAGGGAAUCUUCCGCAAUGGGCGAAAGCCUGACGGAGCAACGCCGCGUGAGUGAUGAAGGUCUCCGGAUCGUAAAACUCUGUUAUUAGGGAAGAACAAAUGUGUAAGUAACUAUGCACGUCUUGACGGUACCUAAUCAGAAAGCCACGGCUAACUACGUG
This 497-nucleotide ribosomal RNA is filed under the name uncultured bacterium. RNAcentral's name for it is "partial 16S ribosomal RNA". It matches the Rfam family "Bacterial small subunit ribosomal RNA", at positions 28 to 507 of the family's 1533-position model. The record is from RNAcentral.